GUGGGCGUAGCUCAAUGGUUAGAGCACUGGACUGUGGCUCCAGGGGUUGGGGGUUCGAGUCCCCUCGCCCACC
RNAcentral lists this transfer RNA (73 nucleotides) under Nitrospirota bacterium. Its description in RNAcentral is "Nitrospirae bacterium tRNA-His". It matches the Rfam family "tRNA". Rfam says of the family: Transfer RNA (tRNA) molecules are approximately 80 nucleotides in length. Their secondary structure includes four short double-helical elements and three loops (D, anti-codon, and T loops). Lineage: Bacteria; Pseudomonadati; Nitrospirota. The record is from RNAcentral.